AGGGGGACCUUCGGGCCUCUCGCGUCAGGAUAUGCCUAGGUGGGAUUAGCUAGUUGGUGAGGUAAGGGCUCACCAAGGCGACGAUCCCUAGCUGGUCUGAGAGGAUGAUCAGCCACACUGGAACUGAGACACGGUCCAGACUCCUACGGGAGGCAGCAGUGGGGAAUAUUGCACAAUGGGCGCAAGCCUGAUGCAGCCAUGCCGCGUGUGUGAAGAAGGCCUUCGGGUUGUAAAGCACUUUCAGUCGUGAGGAAGGUAGUGUAGUUAAUAGCUGCAUUAUUUGACGUUAGCGACAGAAGAAGCACCGGCUAACUCCGUG
Molecule: ribosomal RNA, 319 nt
Filed under: Vibrio sp. enrichment culture clone 043
Lineage: Bacteria; Pseudomonadati; Pseudomonadota; Gammaproteobacteria; Vibrionales; Vibrionaceae
Description: bacterial SSU rRNA
Rfam family: Bacterial small subunit ribosomal RNA
Source: RNAcentral